UUAAAAUGUUGACAAACAUAAAACCGUUUCCGUUUUUUUUCAAGGAAAACGUAUUAAAACGUAUGCAAACGGACAUCCAUUUAUGAACCGUAUACGGUUUAAAAACGUGAAGAGGCAUAUACGGUUGCAUAUAUUUUCGUCCGGUUUGGAGACAUACGUUUUUUGUACAGAAACGGGAUACGGGAAUACAGCCUUAGUGGGGGCACAGCUUCCUUACAUAACUGCUUAUAAACCCUUUCAUGUGCCCUUUUUUUUUUUAUAUAAACUGGGCAGUUUUUCAAUAUUUCUUUAACAAUUUUUUGCUAUAAUUAUCGUGGUUAAAAUAAUGAAGAUAAAAACUUUAAUAUGAAGUAAUAACAACACUAAAUGCCACAUAUUUGCAGAGAAAUUUUGAAAAUGUCAAACCAGAUUAAAAAUGUAAUUUUAAUACAGACAUUGAAUGCAAGAUAAAUUGUAAAAUUAUAUCAUAAAAGUUAUAUUUGUGUGGAAUGCAUAUACUCCCUUAAUCUUUCAACCUAUUUGCUGUGGUUGCUGUUGACCACAGCAGCUAAUAGGUUAAAGGGGUAUUCCAGGAAUUUUUUUUAAUUUGACUAUGCUACAGAGGCUGUAAAGUUAGUGUAGUUCCUAAUAUAGUGUCUGUUUCUCACAAUUCUUAUGUGAUUUUUACUCCAAUAUUUAUUUUUAACAGCAUACAAAAUGUUAUCUCAGAUUUUUCCCAGGUUGCAAUGCGGCCGAGACCUGACCUCACUAGUCAGCUGAUGACAGGGAGCCUGUCUGCUUCAAUGGGUGGAGCGAUCGCUUGGUGGGAGAGGGAUCAAUCUGCAGCUAAUGCAACAGCUGUAGACACCCUGAUUGAAAACCACAGGUCUUUAGAAUGCAUGCAGCUCAUUUAUGUUUUAAUGGGUGUGGUGGCUGAUGUGUGGGAGGGAGGAACAUGGAAUUAUGGGAUUUGUAGGCAAAUAAGGAAACUCAAACAGGAAAUACCAGUUCACAAAAAGCUAGCCACAGUGUUAUAGUAAUCUCACAACUUAGCCAUUUAGCCCCAAGACAAGUGCAGACCCUUCCUAAGCAUGUCCAUUACUGUCUGGCAGGUACGUACCAAAAUCACCUUAUGGUGGAUAACCCCUUUAACCCCUUAACGAAGAAGGACGUAUAUUUAUGUCCUCCGCCGGCUCCCGCAAUAUGCCGCGUGUGACCCAGUGGCGGAUCCAGGGGGGGCUGACAGCUCCCGCUCCACCAUUCACUCAUUUGUUUACCUUUCUCGCGAGUCGCCGCUAGGACGUGAUCGCCGAUCAACGGCAGGCCGGCGCGAUGACGUCAUAUUAUCGCGCCGGCGCCUGAAGAUCCUGUCACCGCGGCUCACUGCUGACUUGUCGGCACACUGCACUGUGCACGCAAGAAGAAGAGAGCUGCUCAGCGGGGGAACAUAACAUAAAGGAUCAGAAUCUGCUGACAAAUUAAGGAGCCAUCUGGGUGUCAUUUCCUGCAGAGAGAAGAUUUCGCUGACAAAGUCACAGCGGUUUUUUUCUCUGUAUAUACCUUGUGACGGACUGACUCUGCCAAAAGUGACUUCUCCUUCUGGAUGACAAGCCCCAGCAUAUCACAGGCAAUAUCCCCAGGCAGAACUAGAGAUUAUUGCAUCCUUGUACCCAAAGAACCAGGCAACCCCAGUCUUCAGACAGAGACAGGAAGUUGUCUUGAGUCUCACGCUAUGUGCGGCAGAAAGACGCGCCGCGAAUGCGCACCUACAUUGUUUACAAGCUAGAUCCGUCCCGCUGUCUAAUUUCAUCCACCGGCCCAUAUUCUUCCUGGUCUGCAGAUUCCUGUUGGUUUUCAUCCAUAUUUUAGAGCCUCAUCUCUCUGCUACCAUACUUCAAAUUUUCUUCUAGACUCAAGACCUCGUUGGAUCCUUCUCCUGUAUUGACUAGUUUUUUUCCUCAGUUCAUGAUAUUACUUUAUGAUGGUUCUACAGUUACCGCAAAGAAAGGGGGAGAAUACCAGGAUGUAACAGCUAAUAUCACCUGGACUCAAUCCU
This is a long non-coding RNA of Hyla sarda, 2035 nucleotides long. RefSeq lists it as uncharacterized. The transcript is spliced from 5 exons. The record is from RefSeq and is a predicted model, not a curated record. Lineage: Eukaryota; Metazoa; Chordata; Amphibia; Anura; Hylidae.